UACGAAGGGGGCUAGCGUUGCUCGGAAUCACUGGGCGUAAAGGGUGCGUAGGCGGGUCUUUAAGUCAGGGGUGAAAUCCUGGAGCUCAACUCCAGAACUGCCUUUGAUACUGAAGAUCUUGAGUUCGGGAGAGGGAAGCGGAAUUCCGGGUGUAGCGGUGAAAUGCGUAGAUAUCCGGAGGAACACCGGUGGCGAAGGCGGCUCACUGGCUCAUAUCUGACGCUCAGGCGCGACAGCGUGGGGAUCAAACAGG
This 253-nucleotide ribosomal RNA is filed under the name uncultured bacterium. RNAcentral's name for it is "partial 16S ribosomal RNA". It matches the Rfam family "Bacterial small subunit ribosomal RNA", at positions 524 to 776 of the family's 1533-position model. The record is from RNAcentral.